Long non-coding RNA from Salvelinus namaycush (lake trout), 1431 nucleotides. RefSeq lists it as uncharacterized. The record is from RefSeq and is a predicted model, not a curated record. Lineage: Eukaryota; Metazoa; Chordata; Actinopteri; Salmoniformes; Salmonidae. The transcript has 2 exons.
UGCUACGCGACUAGCCUCGUGUCAUUAAUAUGCAUAGCUAUCUCGAAACAACUCCGGUAUAAAGAGUUUUUUCUCAAAACUGUCGUGAUGUCACGUGUCCUACUUAUAUCAGUACACUGGUAACAUCGUAAGCAUUACGAAACCUGCCCAAGUAUUUGUGCGUUAGAGAUGUCGAGAAUGUAUGAUUUGUAUAUUCUCUAAAUAAAUACAAAUUUACAAGCGCCCGAAAAAAAUGACUUUUCGGCACCGCCAAUGUAGGCCUAAAUCCCUCAUUACUGCCACGCACAGGUCGGAAGUCUACAACAGCUCAAUACAUUGGAGGUGCCGAAGAGGAAUAUUUUUGUUUGCUUGUACGUUUUUAUUCAGAGCUUUUUUGGAAGUACAUACUGGCUGUACCGGGAGUAAAUGAAGAUAGUUGCCCAGCGAAACUUCAUAUUUGGGGGGGUAGAUGGCCAGGGCCUCCUGGAAGCUUUGCUCUAUGUCUGGGCUCCACACCCCCUCGGCGUCCCCGUCCAUGGCCUUGUCCAGCUCAUCGUUCCCCUCGUCCAGCCCAUCCCCCGGGCUACCGUUGGCACUCCACUCGUUGGACGCAAUGGUGGCGGCUCACCCUGGGCCCGACCCCGAGCCCCACAGUCAGAGGAUCUGGGAGAGAGAGACCUUCAUUAAAAUUUAUCAAUUUAGUCAUUUAGCACAGUAGUUGCCAAACUGUCCCCCCCCCCGCCCCAAAAAAGAGGAACUCAGUCCAGCUUUCAACCUACUCUUGAAAGUUGUAAUAGUAGAAUGCACAAGGUGCAAUUUCAAAAUUGGGUAGUGUAUCAUCAGUUUUCCUCAUCAUAUCAGUCAUUGCAUACCUUAGAGAGCUAUGUCAGCUAAUGUUUUUUUGGAUAGUUUUUUUUUAGCCCAUAGAUUUUGUUGUAAUGUUUGAGUCAUUAAAAUAUCACAUGAAUACACAUUAGACAUGGCAAAAUGUAUAGAAUUGCAAGACAAGUAGCUUUAAAACGGCAAUAUUUUCUCUGAUCCCCAUGACAAAAAGUGUAGAAUUGCAGGAAAUAAGCGUUAAACCUGGAAAAUGUUCUCUCCGCCAAUAAGAGGGGUGUGAACAGUUUGUGUCAAGAACAGUGCUUGUGCCCAUAGGAAUAUACAUAGUGCGCGCGCGCUUGCAGGUUUGACACUCUUAUCCAGAGUGAAUUACAGUAGUGAGGCAUUCAGAUUCAUACUUUUUUGGGGGUAUUUUCAUUACGAAAAAGUACGAAAAGGGUAUGUUGUAAUCGUUGUCAACAACUUCACCGUCACCUUUAGCUGGCAAGUGCAUUUCAAAUUCUGCCUUAUAAAGUAGUGUAGAAUUGCAGGAAAUAAGCUUUAAACCUGGCCUCAGCUGUCUGUUUUCAUUGAAAUCAUAAAAUCUGUACAAAUAAACAAUACAGCCACUAA